UGGAUCCAGACUUUGAUCCUGGCUCAGGAUGAACGCUAGCUACAGGCUUAACACAUGCAAGUCGAGGGGAAACGAUAUUGGAAGCUUGCUUCCGAUAGGCGUCGACCGGCGCACGGGUGAGUAACGCGUAUCCAACCUGCCCACCACUUGGGGAUAACCUUGCGAAAGUAAGACUAAUACCCAAUGAUAUCUCUAGAAGACAUCUGAAAGAGAUUAAAGAUUUAUCGGUGAUGGAUGGGGAUGCGUCUGAUUAGCUUGUUGGCGGGGUAACGGCCCACCAAGGCGACGAUCAGUAGGGGUUCUGAGAGGAAGGUCCCCCACAUUGGAACUGAGACACGGUCCAAACUCCUACGGGAGGCAGCAGUGAGGAAUAUUGGUCAAUGGGCGAGAGCCUGAACCAGCCAAGUAGCGUGCAGGAUGACGGCCCUAUGGGUUGUAAACUGCUUUUAUAAGGGAAUAAAGUGAGCCUCGUGAGGCUUUUUGCAUGUACCUUAUGAAUAAGGACCGGCUAAUUCCGUGCCAGCAGCCGCGGUAAUACGGAAGGUCCGGGCGUUAUCCGGAUUUAUUGGGUUUAAAGGGAGCGUAGGCCGGAGAUUAAGCGUGUUGUGAAAUGUAGACGCUCAACGUCUGCACUGCAGCGCGAACUGGUUUCCUUGAGUACGCACAAAGUGGGCGGAAUUCGUGGUGUAGCGGUGAAAUGCUUAGAUAUCACGAAGAACUCCGAUUGCGAAGGCAGCUCACUGGAGCGCAACUGACGCUGAAGCUCGAAAGUGCGGGUAUCGAACAGGAUUAGAUACCCUGGUAGUCCGCACGGUAAACGAUGGAUGCCCGCUGUUGGUCUGAAUAGGUCAGCGGCCAAGCGAAAGCAUUAAGCAUCCCACCUGGGGAGUACGCCGGCAACGGUGCAACUCAAAGGAAUUGACGGA
This 926-nucleotide ribosomal RNA is filed under the name uncultured organism. RNAcentral's name for it is "bacterial SSU rRNA". It matches the Rfam family "Bacterial small subunit ribosomal RNA", at positions 1 to 917 of the family's 1533-position model. The record is from RNAcentral.